Molecule: ribosomal RNA, 617 nt
Filed under: uncultured bacterium
Lineage: Bacteria
Description: bacterial SSU rRNA
Rfam family: Bacterial small subunit ribosomal RNA
Source: RNAcentral
CCUACGGGAGGCAGCAGUAAGGAAUAUUGGUCAAUGGGGGCAACCCUGAACCAGCCAUGCCGCGUGCAGGAUGAAGGCCCUAUGGGUCGUAAACUGCUUUUAUACCGGAGAAAACCCCCGUACGUGUACGGGGUUGAUAGUAUGGUAAGAAUAAGCAUCGGCUAACUUCGUGCCAGCAGCCGCGGUAAGACGAAGGAUGCAAGCGUUAUCCGGAUUCAUUGGGUUUAAAGGGUGCGUAGGCGGACCUGUAAGUCAGUGGUGAAAUCUCUUUGCUUAACAAAGAAACUGCCAUUGAUACUGCAAGUCUAGAGUAUAGAUGACGUUGGCGGAAUAUGACAUGUAGUGGUGAAAUACUUAGAUAUGUCAUAGAACACCGAUUGCGAAGGCAGCUAACGAAACUAUAACUGACGCUGAGGCACGAAAGUGCGGGGAUCAAACAGGAUUAGAUACCCUGGUAGUCCGCACCGUAAACGAUGAUUACUCGUUGUUGGCAAUAUGACCGUCAGCGACCAAGCGAAAGCGAUAAGUAAUCCACCUGGGGAGUACGCCGGCAACGGUUGAAACGUUAAAUUGAAAUUGACGGCUUGGNGAGNGCGACGACGACGACGAGGGAGAGG